This 68-nucleotide transfer RNA is filed under the name Pseudeuphausia sinica. RNAcentral's name for it is "tRNA-Asp". Lineage: Eukaryota; Metazoa; Arthropoda; Malacostraca; Euphausiacea; Euphausiidae. The record is from RNAcentral.
AAAAAAUUAGUUAACUCAUAACUUAAGCUUGUCAAGCUUAGAUUAUUACAUAAAAGUAAUAUUUUUUA